RNAcentral lists this ribosomal RNA (511 nucleotides) under uncultured bacterium. Its description in RNAcentral is "bacterial SSU rRNA". It matches the Rfam family "Bacterial small subunit ribosomal RNA", at positions 975 to 1482 of the family's 1533-position model. The record is from RNAcentral.
CUGGGUUUGAACUGUACAGGAAAGUCUCAGAGAUGAGAGCCCCUCUUCGGAGGACUGUAUAGAGGUGCUGCAUGGCUGUCGUCAGCUCGUGUCGUGAGAUGUUGGGUUAAGUCCCGCAACGAGCGCAACCCUUAUUCAUAGUUACUAACGCGUCAUGGCGAGAACUCUAUGGAGACUGCCGGUGAUAAACCGGAGGAAGGUGGGGAUGACGUCAAGUCCUCAUGGCCUUUAUGUCCAGGGCUACACACGUGCUACAAUGGACGGUACAGAGAGUCGCGAUGCCGCAAGGUGGAGCUAAUCUCAAAAAGCCGUUCUCAGUUCGGAUUGCAGUCUGCAACUCGACUGCAUGAAGUUGGAAUCGCUAGUAAUCGCGGAUCAGCACGCCGCGGUGAAUACGUUCCCAGGCCUUGUACACAUCGCCCGUCACAUCACGAAAGUCGGUUGCACUAGAAGUCGGUGGGCUAACCCGCAAGGGAGGCAGCCGCCUAAAGUGUGAUCGGUAAUUGGGGUG